RNAcentral lists this ribosomal RNA (470 nucleotides) under uncultured Anaerolineaceae bacterium. Its description in RNAcentral is "bacterial SSU rRNA". It matches the Rfam family "Bacterial small subunit ribosomal RNA", at positions 897 to 1382 of the family's 1533-position model. The record is from RNAcentral. Lineage: Bacteria; Bacillati; Chloroflexota; Anaerolineae; Anaerolineales; Anaerolineaceae.
AAACUCAAAGGAAUUGACGGGGACCCGCACAAGCAGCGGAGCGUGUGGUUUAAUUCGUUGCUACACGAAGAACCUUACCUGGGUUUGACAUAUAGGUUGUAGGGAACUGAAAGGGACCGACCCUUCGGGGAGCCUAUACAGGUGUUGCAUGGCUGUCGUCAGCUCGUGUCGUGAGAUGUUCGGUUAAGUCCGCUAACGAGCGCAACCCUCGUCGUAUGUUAUAUGUGUCAUACGAGACUGCCGGUAAAAGCCGGAGGAAGGUGAGGAUGAUGUCAAGUCAGCAUGACCUUUAUAUCCAGGGCUACACACACGCUACAAUGGUCUGUACAAUGGGUAGCCAAGCCGCGAGGCGGAGCCAAUCCUGAAAGCAGGCCUCAGUUCAGAUUGCAGUCUGCAACUCGACUGCAUGAAGCCGGAGUUGCUAGUAACCGCAGGUCAGCAAUACUGCGGUGAAUACGUUCCCGGGUCUU